This 66-nucleotide transfer RNA is filed under the name Leiochrinini sp. 2 ACP-2013. Its description in RNAcentral is "tRNA-Gly". The record is from RNAcentral. Lineage: Eukaryota; Metazoa; Arthropoda; Insecta; Coleoptera; Tenebrionidae.
AAUUAUUUAAAUAGUAUAACUAUUAUAUUUGAUUUCCAAUCAAAUGAUCUCAUAAGAGUUUAAAUA